This 500-nucleotide ribosomal RNA is filed under the name uncultured bacterium. RNAcentral's name for it is "partial 16S ribosomal RNA". It matches the Rfam family "Bacterial small subunit ribosomal RNA", at positions 30 to 523 of the family's 1533-position model. The record is from RNAcentral.
AUUGAACGCUGGCGGAAUGCUUUACACAUGCGAGUCGAACGGCAGCACGGACUUCGGUCUGGUGGCGAGUGGCGAACGGGUGAGUAAUGUAUCGGAACGUGCCCAGUCGUGGGGGAUAACGUAGUGAAAAUUACGCUAAUACCGCAUACGAUCUAUGGAUGAAAGCGGGGGAUCGCAAGACCUCGCGCGAUUGGAGCGGCCGAUAUCAGAUUAGGUAGUUGGGGGGGUAAAAGCCCACCAAGCCAACGAUCUGUAGCUGGUCUGAGAGGACGACCAGCCAAACUACAACUGAGACACGGUCCAGACUCCUACGGGAGGCAGCAGUUCGGAAUUUGGGAGAAUGGGCGAAAGCCUGAUCCAGCCAGUCCUCGUUCAGGAUGAAGGCCCUCGGGUUGUAAACUGCUUUUGUACAGAACGAAAAGGUUUCUACUAAUACUAGGAGCUCAUGACGGUACUGUAAGAAUAAGCACCGGCUAAGUACGUGCCAGCAGCCGCCGUAA